This 550-nucleotide ribosomal RNA is filed under the name uncultured Glomeraceae. RNAcentral describes it as "bacterial SSU rRNA". It matches the Rfam family "Eukaryotic small subunit ribosomal RNA", at positions 548 to 1098 of the family's 1831-position model. The record is from RNAcentral. Lineage: Eukaryota; Fungi; Glomeromycota; Glomeromycetes; Glomerales; Glomeraceae.
UUGGAGGGCAAGUCUGGUGCCAGCAGCCGCGGUAAUUCCAGCUCCAAUAGCGUAUAUUAAAGUUGUUGCAGUUAAAAAGCUCGUAGUUGAAUUUCGGAAUCAAAUAAUCGGGUGAAUCAACAGGUUCGUACUGAUUUUAAGAGUUUCUCCCUUCUGGAGAACCAUAAUAUCAUUUAUUUGAUGUUGUGGGGAACCAGGACUGUUACCUUGAAAAAAUUAGAGUGUUUAAAGCAGGCUAACGCUUGAAUACAUCAGCAUGGAAUAAUGAAAUAGGACGUUCGACCCUAUUUUGUUGGUUUCUAGGAUCGACGUAAUGAUUAAUAGGGAUAGUUGGGGGCAUUAGUAUUCAAUUGUCAGAGGUGAAAUUCUUGGAUUUAUUGAAGACUAACUACCGCGAAAGCAUUUGCCAAGGAUGUUUUCAUUAAUCAAGAACGAAAGUUAGGGGAUCGAAGACGAUCAGAUACCGUCGUAGUCUUAACCAUAAACUAUGCCGACUAGGGAUCGGAUGAUGUUAAUUUUUUAAUGACUCAUUCGGCGCCUUACGGGAAAC